RNAcentral lists this ribosomal RNA (459 nucleotides) under uncultured bacterium. RNAcentral describes it as "SSU rRNA". It matches the Rfam family "Bacterial small subunit ribosomal RNA", at positions 26 to 518 of the family's 1533-position model. The record is from RNAcentral.
AGAAUCAACGCUGGCGGCGUGCCUAACACAUGCAAGUCGAACGAGAAAGUGGAGCAAUCCAUGAGUAAAGUGGCGCACGGGUGAGUAACACGUGACUAACCUACCCUUGAGUGGGGGAUAACCUCGGGAAACCGGGGCUAAUACCGCAUAAUAUCGAGAGAUCAAAGGAGCAAUUCGCUUAAGGAGGGGGUCGCGGCUGAUUAGCUAGUUGGUGAGGUAAUGGCUCACCAAGGCUAUGAUCAGUAUCCGGCCUGAGAGGGCGCACGGACACACUGGAACUGAAACACGGUCCAGACUCCUACGGGAGGCAGCAGUGGGGAAUUUUCCGCAAUGGAGGCAACUCUGACGGAGCAACGCCGCGUGCAGGAGGAAGGUUUUCGGAUCGUAAACUGCUUUCUCGGGGACGAGCAAGGACGGUACCCGAGGAAGAAGCCCGGCUAACUACGCGCCAGCAGCCGC